CUGAGUCCAUGAUGAUGUCAAGUUAUCCCUGGCUGAAGGCAGAGAAAGGCCUUCCUGUGUGGAAUGUGUCAUCUGAAACUCGG
Ochotona princeps (American pika) is the source of this 83-nucleotide small nucleolar RNA. NCBI's taxonomy places the organism in Eukaryota, Metazoa, Chordata, Mammalia, Lagomorpha, Ochotonidae. The record is from Ensembl.